UAAGGAAUAUUGGACAAUGGGCGCAAGUCUGAUCCAGCCAUGCCGCGUGAAGGAUGAAUGCCCUCUGGGUUGUAAACUUCUUUUAUAGGGGAAGAAAGAUACUUUUUUUAAGGUAGUUGACGGUACCCUAUGAAUAAGCACCGGCUAACUCCGUGCCAGCAGCCGCGGUAAUACGGAGGGUGCAAGCGUUAUCCGGAUUUACUGGGUUUAAAGGGUGCGUAGGCGGGCAUGUAAGUCAGUGGUGAAAUACCGGAGCUUAACUUCGGAACUGCCAUUGAUACUAUAUGUCUUGAAUAUUGUGGAGGUAAGCGGAAUAUGUCAUGUAGCGGUGAAAUGCAUAGAUAUGACAUAGAACACCGAUUGCGGAGGCAGCUUGCUACGCAAAUAUUGACGCUGAGGCACGAAAGCGUGGGGAUCAAACA
This 422-nucleotide ribosomal RNA is filed under the name uncultured bacterium. RNAcentral describes it as "bacterial SSU rRNA". It matches the Rfam family "Bacterial small subunit ribosomal RNA", at positions 355 to 774 of the family's 1533-position model. The record is from RNAcentral.